Molecule: non-coding RNA, 61 nt
Filed under: Solanum tuberosum (potato)
Lineage: Eukaryota; Viridiplantae; Streptophyta; Magnoliopsida; Solanales; Solanaceae
Source: RNAcentral
GUGCUAGUAAAAAGGAGAGCUAGUUUUCUUCUCCCUCUACAAGGAUGGAAUCAUAUUUUCU